This 440-nucleotide ribosomal RNA is filed under the name uncultured bacterium. Its description in RNAcentral is "partial 16S ribosomal RNA". It matches the Rfam family "Bacterial small subunit ribosomal RNA", at positions 338 to 795 of the family's 1533-position model. The record is from RNAcentral.
CCUACGGGCGACUGCAGUGGGGAAUAUUGCACAAUGGGGGAAACCCUGAUGCAGCGACGCCGCGUGAGUGAAGAAGUAAUUCGUUAUGUAAAGCUCUAUCAGCAGGGAAGAAAAUGACGGUACCUGAGUAAGAAGCCCCGGCUAAAUACGUGCCAGCAGCCGUAGUUACAUGUAGGGGGCCAGCGUUAUCCGGAUUUACUGGGUGUAAAGGGGGCGUAGACGGGAGGGGAAGUCUGGAGUGAACGGCGGGGGCUCAACCCCCGGACUGCUCUGGAAACUGUACGGCUGGAGUGCGGGAGAGGUAAGUGGAAUGCGUAGUGUAGCGGUGAAAUGCGUAGAUAUUAGGAGGAACACCAAUGGCGAAGGCAGCUUACUGGAGUGUAACUGACGUUGAGGCUCGAAAGCGUGGGGAGCGAACAGGAUUAGAUACCCGAGUAGUC